RNAcentral lists this unclassified non-coding RNA (434 nucleotides) under uncultured Mycena. RNAcentral describes it as "sequence contains ITS2". The stretch from base 1 to 154 matches the Rfam family "5.8S ribosomal RNA". The record is from RNAcentral. Lineage: Eukaryota; Fungi; Basidiomycota; Agaricomycetes; Agaricales; Tricholomataceae.
AACUUUUGGCAAUGGAUCUCUUGGCUCUCCUAUCGAUGAAGAACGCAGCGAAAUGCGAUAAGUAAUGUGAAUAGCAGAAUUCAGUGAAUCAUCGAAUCUUUGAACGCACCUUGCGCCCUUUGGUAUUCAGAAGGGCAUGCUUGUUUGAGUGUCAUUAAAUUAUCAACCUUGCUCGCUUUUACCGGCUUGAGUUAGGCUUGGACGUGAGGGUUUUGCUGGCUUCCUUUUUUAUGGAUUGUCUGCUCUCUUUAAAUUCAUUAGUGGGAUCCUUUGUGUAUGGUCGCUUGGUGUGAUAAUUAUCUACGCCGCUUGACUCUGACGCAAGACUUGUGGGAACCUGCUUAUAACCGUCUCUUCACAGAGACUAUCUUUUGACAAUUUGACCUCAAAUCAGGUAGGACUACCCGCUGAACUUAAGCAUAUCAAUAAGCGGA